This 488-nucleotide ribosomal RNA is filed under the name Ischnocnema hoehnei (Hoehn's robber frog). RNAcentral describes it as "partial 12S ribosomal RNA". It matches the Rfam family "Bacterial small subunit ribosomal RNA", at positions 794 to 1523 of the family's 1533-position model. The record is from RNAcentral. Lineage: Eukaryota; Metazoa; Chordata; Amphibia; Anura; Brachycephalidae.
GCCUGGCCCUAAACCUUAAAUUACUAACCCAUCGCCAAGGAACUACGAGCAAUGCUUAAAACCUAAAGGACUUGACGGUACCCCAUAUCCCCCUAGAGGAGCCUGUCCUAAAAUCGAUGAUCCCCGUUCAACCUCACCACUUCUGGCUUUUCAGCCUGUAUACCUCCGUCCCAGCUCACCAUAUGAAUGAACUAGUGAGUCCCAUCGUCAUAACCGAUACAUCAGGUCAAGGUGCAGCAAAUGAAGUGGGAAGAGAUGGGCUACACUCUCUAUUCUAGAGUAAACGAAAAGUCAAUAUGCAAUCUGACUGGAAGGUGGAUUUAGAAGUAAAAAGUAAACAGAGUGUUCUUUUUAACUCGGUAUUGGGGUAUGUACAUACCGCCCGUCACCCUCUUCAAAAACACAAAAGUAGUAAUUAACACGACCCUUAAAUAUAAAGAAGAGGCAAGUCGUAACAUGGUAAGCAUACUGGAAAGUGUGCUUGGAUA